Molecule: ribosomal RNA, 253 nt
Filed under: uncultured bacterium
Lineage: Bacteria
Description: partial 16S ribosomal RNA
Rfam family: Bacterial small subunit ribosomal RNA
Source: RNAcentral
UACGUAGGGGGCUAGCGUUGUUCGGAAUCGUUGGGCGUAAAGCGCGUGUAGGCGGCCCGGUAAGUCCGCUGUGAAAGUCCAGGGCUCAACCCUGGGAUGCCGGUGGAUACUGUCGGGCUCGAGUCCGGAAGAGGAGUGUGGAAUUCCUGGUGUAGCGGUGAAAUGCGCAGAUAUCAGGAGGAACACCAAUGGUGAAGGCAGCACUCUGGGACGUGACUGACGCUGAGACGCGAAAGCGUGGGGAGCAAACAGG